RNAcentral lists this transfer RNA (74 nucleotides) under Candidatus Electryoneaceae bacterium. Its description in RNAcentral is "tRNA-Val". It matches the Rfam family "tRNA". Rfam says of the family: Transfer RNA (tRNA) molecules are approximately 80 nucleotides in length. The record is from RNAcentral. Lineage: Bacteria; Pseudomonadati; Candidatus Electryoneota; Candidatus Electryoneia; Candidatus Electryoneales; Candidatus Electryoneaceae.
GGGCGAUUAGCUCAGUUGGUCAGAGCACUGGUCUCACAUAUCAGGGGUCACUGGUUCAAAUCCAGUAUCGCCCA